GGAUUGUGGCUCAGUGGUAGAGUACUUGCCUAGCAUUUGUGAAGCACUGGGUUCAAUUCUCAGCACCA
RNAcentral lists this transfer RNA (68 nucleotides) under Marmota monax (woodchuck). RNAcentral describes it as "tRNA.Ala". The record is from RNAcentral. Lineage: Eukaryota; Metazoa; Chordata; Mammalia; Rodentia; Sciuridae.